Molecule: long non-coding RNA, 1741 nt
Filed under: Homo sapiens (human)
Lineage: Eukaryota; Metazoa; Chordata; Mammalia; Primates; Hominidae
Description: HSALNT0397861
Source: RNAcentral
CCCACUCUCACAGCCCUGUAGGGUGCCACGUGGGCUGCGGGCUGGGGCUGUAGGGGCUCCCGCAGCGACCCACGCCGCCCUCUUGCUCAGGGCCCCAGGAGGCGAGUCUGAGUGGAACCUGGCUGGGGUAGGCUGAAAGGUGACUUCGACGCUCUUCUGAGGCCUCAGACGUGUGUGAUGACUGCCCUGUAGAAUCAGUGCUGUGACCCCGAGUAACAACGCGCGCUUGAGUUGGUAUAAACUCCUGAAGAGUGUAGUCCUGCAAUUUACAAGAAAAAGUUAAGUGUAAAAUAGCCUCAGGCAUGUCCUUCAGGAGGGAUUCCAGAGGCAUUGUUAUAGACGAUGACAGCUCUGUGUGUGUUAUUGCCACUGAAGACCUUCCAUGGGACGCGAUGUGGAGCUGGAAGUCAGUGAUAUUGAUGAUCCUGACACAGUCCUAGGAUAAGGCCCAUGCUAUAUGAGCUUGACUUCUGGAAGGCUGGAGACUGAGUAAAUUCAGGAGUUAAGUUCAGUCACCCAGGCACCAUGGACACCAGCAUUCAGACGAGAUUACCUGUUUGGCACUACUUUGCACAUGCUGGCACACACCAUGGUGGGAAGAAUUAAGUGCUGUUGCCAUGCAAUUCUAAUGGAAGGGGAAAACUGGAAGCUUGUGCCUCGUCUCUCCUGGACUUUGUCCAGUGCCUUCUCCCAUUGUUCAUUGUUGCCUGCAUCCUUCGCCUUGAGUUUGAGUAUGGCAGCUCUUCUGGAUCCCAGGAGUCCUUCCAGCAAAUCAUUGAGCCUGAGUGGUCCUGGAGACCAGUGGCACACCUUUGUUCAAGAUAAUGGUUCACUUCUCAAUCAAUAAAAAUGUACUUGUAGACGCAUUCAUUGCUUUUCACUGGUGGGAACAAAACUGUUUGAAACGGUACUAUUUUGUUUACUAAUCACUAGGCUCUAAUUCUUCUGUUGUAUUAACUGUUGCUUUGUAUUGGCUUAGGGUUUAUCAAGUUUAUCAACGCCAGCUCAUUAACAGUUGGGUGUGAUGGCUCAUGCCUGUAAUCCACUUUGGGAGGCUGAGGUGGGAAGAUCCCCUGAGCCCAGUAGUUCCAGACCAGCAUGGGCAACAUAGAGAGACCCUGUCUCCACAAAAAAAUAAAGUUAACCAGGUAUGGUGGCACACACCUGUGGUCCCAGUUAUUUGGGAGGCUGAGGUGGGAGGAUUGCUUAAGUCCAGGAGGUCAAGGCUGCAGUUAGCUGUGAUUGCACCAUGGCGCUCCAUCCUGGGUGACAGAGCGAGACCCUGUCUCAAACGAAAAAACAAAACCACACACACACAAAACAACCCAGAAUGUUCAGCAUUCUAUUAGACAACUUUCCUGUGGUCUUCAAAAAGCCAAACUCAUGAAAAAAAAAAAACAGUAGAGAUAUUGUUCUAAAUGAGUUGGCAAAUGUUCUCUAGAAAGGUCAUGAUAUUAUAUACAGUAGGUUUUGUGACCAUUGCAAAUGGUCUCAUUGCAAUGACAUCUCUGACGUGGUAGUAAGAAGAAAACAUGUAAACAAGUGAAUGUGGUAGUGUUGCAAUAAAACUACAAAAUCCACUGGCAGGUUGCAAUUAGCCUGUAGGCCAUAGUUUUCCAGCCACUAUUCUAAAUUAAAAGUGAGUAACGCUUUAUCAUAAAGGCAUAAACUAGAGCAAAUACCAGUUUGAAAAUGACCAAAAAGAUAUAACUUGGAUAAAUUUUCAAAAUUUGAAUACAGG